Long non-coding RNA from Dromaius novaehollandiae (emu), 4105 nucleotides. RefSeq lists it as uncharacterized. The record is from RefSeq and is a predicted model, not a curated record. NCBI's taxonomy places the organism in Eukaryota, Metazoa, Chordata, Aves, Casuariiformes, Dromaiidae. The transcript is spliced from 4 exons.
GAAAUAAACUCAUACAUCCACAGAAACAACACGGGCAGUGAUCAGAUGGAAUUAAUUCCUCAAAUAUAUUAUACCCAUGUCAAGUUUUAGAAAAACUGAGGGCUCAAGACUGGCAAGCUGUGAGAUUAAGGCUAUGAAAAUGUUAUAUCCCUGGAAAACUGGAAAAAAACAAGAGAAACAUGAUGUCCUCACUGUCUGAAAGGAUUUUGCCACUUACAAAGCUGGCUCUGUCAAGCGGAGAUUGGGAUGAAUGGACCCUUCUCAGAAGAGAUGCAGUUUUGGAACUACGAUGACCAACUCACUGCUACAGACCAAAAAAACUUGAAUUCAACCACUGGCCACUUUCCAGUCAGCUCUUCUAGGCUUCUACAUUUUUUAGUAAGCUUGGGGGUGCCAGGAUGGCCUGAAGGAGUUCAGCAUUUUUCUUUCCAUUCUGUUUAAUGUUUCCUUUUCGGACUGAAAUAUAAUUGGUUCAGAGUGACAGAAAUUUGGGGAAAAAAACUGUGUGGGAGGAAGCACUCUCCUCAUCUUUAAAGGAUAUUGUCCCUUCUCUAGGGUGGAGAUGUGGAAGACAGGCAGAUAGCAGGCACUAGGUGUUCACAGCUGUUCCUUUGCCUACUCUAUACUGUCACAUGUCUUGUCUGGGUUUUGGUGAUGAUUCGGGUAUUAAUUGAAUACAAAGGUUUUGCUGUUAAUCUGCUUAUUUUUUAUGGGUCUGUGAUAGCUAAAGACAGAAAUUGAAAUAUGAGUAUACAGAUAUAUAUGUUUGUAAAAUUUCUUCCAAGUUUUAGUCAUCAAAACCCCUGAACGUAUCGAUGCCUUAAUGGCAGUGCCUACGCUAUUCUGUUACAGCAUCCUUGGCAGCUGUCUUGAGGACCACUUUCCUGUCCAUAUACACUCUCUAGCCCUGUGAGGCCCUGCCAGGACUCCCUGAAAGUGUGUCAGCUGGGCACCAAGGCAGAUCCUGGGGCAGCGUGUGGCCUCGUGGAGGUCUAUCUUCCAGAGCUCUUCCACCUAAAGUGUUCCCCCAGACCAGGUGUCAAGGCCUGCACUGCUACAGGCAGUGCUGCAUGUGCUCCAUAAACUGAUACACCUGUCCUCCUAUGCAAGGUUCUGCUUUUUUAUUAGCUGGAUGUCACUGUCCCCUUAUUUAUAAUAAGAUCUGGGUUAUAGAAAGGUCACUGAGCUGAACUAUCUCACCUGAGUGGGAGCCAGGAGCUGGGAGAGAGUCCAUAUGCUAUUUUUCGUAGUGGAAGGAAGGCCAGUUUUGGACAAGUCAAGCAGAGCACAGUGUCCAGCCCAGGAAGAAAUGAGAACCUUGUUGCCUGCUUUCUCCAAGGAAUCUACAGAGAUGGAGGAUAUGGAUCAGUGGUGCAUUUGCUAAAUGCAGCGCAGGAUCAAGGCAUGCCAAUUCUGCCUGCCAAGAUGGACAAGGAUCACUUCAGCUGGCCUUAAAGAAUACCUCCUGAAAGAAGGAUGGGAGAAUGAAGGGUUAUGGCUAGAAAUUAUAAUGAGAAAUAGUUUUCUGUACACAAGACUCGCCAAGGAAAUAAGGAGAAAGACCGGAAACAUGAUUAGUUCCCAGUAGUAGAGACAAAACAGAAAAUUUGUGAUCUCAAGAUCUGAUAGAAAAACUGUGGGCUGCUCCUCCUCUUCCCAUGACUGGUCUGCUCUUGCUCUGGGUGCUUCAGUGCUGUCUCUAGGCACCCAGAAGGUAGCUGCCCUGGCUGCCCCGUGCCUGCAGGACUCAGGAGCUCUAAGGAGGAGAUAUAUGGGCAGGGGAUGGAGAGUCCCGGGGCAUCUGUCGUGUUUUCCUUGCGGCAGCGCAAUCACCAGGAGCUGGGAGGAACCAGAGCCAGCUGUGGGUUACAUAGGCUUCUCUCAGGAUGCAUGGGCUCUUCUUCUUUUUUAUAUUCUUGCUUUUGAAUUUGGCUUUAGGAAGCUGUGAUGAUGGAAACUUCCAAAGAAUACUUCAACAGAUAGUGUGAGCUGUGGCCUGAACUGGUGGGAUGAGGAAGUAUAGGUGCCCUAAUUUUUGGUUUACUAUUUCUAUUUGAAGUCGUAUUAGUGUCUCUGAAAGCCUCGCUAGGGCAUACCUGCAUUUAUCUUUCCUUUAUUUGUCUGAAUAGCCUGUCCCAGACUGUGGCAUAAGGAGGUCUAGGGAUGCAUUUAAUGCAGCAGGGCUGUGAAGGAUCCUACUAAAUAAGGGAUGGGGGACUUAUUUGCAGUUUGUUGCAGGCUGUGCCUAGCUUGAGUUGCUCCCAGUGAACAAAGCAGCCUAUGUGAAAACACUUUCUAGAUAUGGGCUUUCAGUGCUCAAGUGCUUGCCCCAGUAGUUUUCCCUUUGCACGCUCUGUGAUUUGAUUUGAUGCCUGUUGCCCCUGGUAAGAAAGGCCAGCCUCUAUUACAUGUAUAUAUUUUUCACUUUGUUCUCACAGUGGGGAAGGCAGGCUUUGGAGCCUGCUUAAGCAUGAGGGGGAUUUGUAGGGGUGCUGCACCCAGCCGGCAGCAUUCAUCGCGAGCCCAAUGCAUUUUACUUGGACCAGGAAAAAGGAAGAGACUUUUUCACUUGAAACCAAUCAAGUGUUUCUCUGCUUCACAGCAUGAGCCCUUUCCCCCCACCCUCUGGGAAAGCCCUGAGUUUUAUCCCUGUCAUUCCUAGCAGGACCUGAGCUGGUUGCAGCCCCUCCAGCUCAUGCCCUGGGCCGUGAGGACACAGGCUUGUUGCCAGCUCCCCUGUGAGAGGGGACACAGGGAGAAGCACCCUUCUGGAAGUGCUGCCAGGGCUGGUGGCAUCACUGCUGUCCCUCAGGUACCCAGUGCUAGUCUGGGUGUACCUGAGACAGUCCAGAGAUGUUUUAGGAGCUUAUAGUCUUGAUUUAGACUUUGCUGGUGGUCUGCGGGGUAAUCCUUGGGAAACUUCUGGUGGAGAAGUACAGACCAAAGCUUUUUUUGAAGGAGAUUAUCAGGAAAUCACUGGGAUUUUUUUUUAAUUGACCCACAUGAAGAAACAUUUGCUGCAGAUCGCCAAAAGGUUACUGCCUUCCCCUUCUCCCUAACAACUUCCCUCUGCAUUUGUAGCCACUUGUGUGGAUUGCUUUCAUUAUAUAAAAUACAGUACAAUUUUCAACAUUUCAAUUCCUGGUUAUUUUAAGUGAGCGCGAAGCCAGCCCGUCAAUACAACCUGAGCCUUAAACAUGAGACAAUACUGAAAUACAAAGUUGUAUCUAUUUUACUGUACUGUUGGUAUUACAGAUUGAUAUAAGACUGUUGCAGAAGGGCAUAAUCUCUGAAUUUUGUAAGUUAGAAGUUUAGUCACUUGAGAAAAAGUAUAGCAAGUAGAUAAUCAUAUUUAAUCACCACCACAGCAAAGCAGGUGACCAGUGAAGAAGAAUGGAUUUUUAUUGAAAUUUUAGCAUGUGUAAAAAAAAAAAAUAAUCUAUGGCUGUCACAAAUGAAUGUUUCUUACAAACAGGUAAUUAUUCACAAUGAGUAGCAUAGUGAUUUUUCUCAUUUUCUUUGCUAAGUUGCUUCAAGACAUCAGUAGUGACAGAUUAUAGACAUACCCAUAAGCAAAGAGCACAAUGGAAGGCUCACCCUGUUCAGCAGGUGGGUGUUUCAGCUGUAUUAUAGCAGUGUCUUCUGGUUUUCGCAGUUUAAUAGGCAGACUCUUGGAGCCUUCCAUCACUCUUAAAAUACAUUUAUUUUCUCUGUGAGCUGUCAUUUCUGGAAGGGAUUGCUUCUAAGUUUUAAUUGUAAAUCUUAAUUGUUUGCACAAGAAUCUUGAGGGCUAAGGGCAAAUAUUGAACUACUAUGGACAGAAAAUUAAAAACACCCAACAGAAUGGGUGGAGAUUAUCUUCAAAUGAAAUAAAGGUGAUGGGAGUUUGGGGCUCACAGAUAUAACAGCAGCUGCUAGUAGGCAUCUGCUUUUUAUUUUGCAUGUUUUUCUUUUGAGAAACUGCCCUGCCUCUUUGCUUUGAUCUUGUGUCAGUUCAUAAGCAAUAAACAUAGGACUAGUUACCAUAUUGCAAUAAAAGGGGCUAGCUUGGAGGGCACUGAGGAACAUUUCAAAUAAAUUUACUGCAUUCUAACUCUUAAAACAA